Molecule: ribosomal RNA, 427 nt
Filed under: uncultured bacterium
Lineage: Bacteria
Description: partial 16S ribosomal RNA
Rfam family: Bacterial small subunit ribosomal RNA
Source: RNAcentral
UGGGGAAUAUUGCACAAUGGGCGCAAGCCUGAUGCAGCCAUGCCGCGUGUGUGAAGAAGGCCUUCGGGUUGUAAAGCACUUUCAGCGAGGAGGAAGGGUAGUGUGUUAAUAGCACAUUGCAUUGACGUUACUCGCAGAAGAAGCACCGGCUAACUCCGUGCCAGCAGCCGCGGUAAUACGGAGGGUGCAAGCGUUAAUCGGAAUUACUGGGCGUAAAGCGCACGCAGGCGGUUUGUUAAUUCAGAUGUGAAAUCCCCGCGCUUAACGUGGGAACUGCAUUUGAAACUGGCAAGCUAGAGUCUUGUAGAGGGGGGUAGAAUUCCAGGUGUAGCGGUGAAAUGCGUAGAGAUCUGGAGGAAUACCGGUGGCGAAGGCGGCCCCCUGGACAAAGACUGACGCUCAGGUGCGAAAGCGUGGGGAGCAAACA